Molecule: non-coding RNA, 69 nt
Organism: Podarcis lilfordi (Lilford's wall lizard)
Lineage: Eukaryota; Metazoa; Chordata; Lepidosauria; Squamata; Lacertidae
Source: the annotation of a GenBank genome assembly
GCAGUAGCUCAAUGGCAGGGCAUCUGCCUUGCAUGGAGAAGACCCCAGGUUCAAGUCCCAGCAUCUCUA